Molecule: ribosomal RNA, 445 nt
Filed under: uncultured bacterium
Lineage: Bacteria
Description: partial 16S ribosomal RNA
Rfam family: Bacterial small subunit ribosomal RNA
Source: RNAcentral
GUAGGGAAUAUUGUGCAAUGGUCGGAAGACUGACCCAGCCAUGCCGCGUGGAGGAUGAAGGUCCUCUGGAUUGUAAACUUCUUUUAUCUGGGACGAAAAAAGGUCUUUCUAGAUCGUCUGACGGUACCAGAUGAAUAAGCACCGGCUAACUCCGUGCCAGCAGCCGCGGUAAUACGGAGGGUGCAAGCGUUAUCCGGAUUCACUGGGUUUAAAGGGUGCGUAGGUGGGUUGGUAAGUCAGUGGUGAAAUCUUCGAGCUUAACUCGGAAACUGCCAUUGAUACUAUCAGUCUUGAAUAUUGUGGAGGUUAGCGGAAUAUGUCAUGUAGCGGUGAAAUGCUUAGAUAUGACAUAGAACACCAAUUGCGAAGGCAGCUGGCUACACAUAUAUUGACACUGAGGCACGAAAGCGUGGGGAUCAAACAGGAUUAGAAACCCGAGUAGUCC